RNAcentral lists this ribosomal RNA (492 nucleotides) under uncultured bacterium. RNAcentral's name for it is "partial 16S ribosomal RNA". It matches the Rfam family "Bacterial small subunit ribosomal RNA", at positions 29 to 507 of the family's 1533-position model. The record is from RNAcentral.
AGUGAACGCUGGCGGUAGGCCUAACACAUGCAAGUCGAACGGCAGCACAGUAAGGGCUUGCUCUUACGGGUGGCGAGUGGCGGACGGGUGAGGAAUACAUCGGAAUCUACUUUUUCGUGGGGGAUAACGUAGGGAAACUUACGCUAAUACCGCAUACGACCUACGGGUGAAAGCAGGGGAUCUUCGGACCUUGCGCGAUUGAAUGAGCCGAUGUCGGAUUAGCUAGUUGGCGGGGUAAAGGCCCACCAAGGCGACGAUCCGUAGCUGGUCUGAGAGGAUGAUCAGCCACACUGGAACUGAGACACGGUCCAGACUCCUACGGGAGGCAGCAGUGGGGAAUAUUGGACAAAGGGCGCAAGCCUGAUUCAGCCAUACCGCGUGGGUGAAGAAGGCCUUCGGGUUGUAAAGCCCUUUUGUUGGGAAAGAAAAGCAGCAGGUUAAUACCCCGCUGUUCUGACGGUACCCAAAGAAUAAGCACCGGCUAACUUCGUG